UUUUCAGAAGCACAGAAGGGGAGCGAGGCUUAGAGAAGAAAGAAAUCUAUCAACCACAAGAGGGCCCUGCUUUGAGGCCGACCGCAAGAAAGGAAGGACUUCUCUCUUUUUUCUCUUUCCUUCUUUUCUCCAGCCAGGAUGUGGAACUGAGCUUCCUGGAUCUUGCAGCUGGUUUGCCUAAGCCCCCUCUCUUUUAUCCUAGCUCCCUGCAAGGGAGAGAGGGGAGCUUUCAAACCAUCCAACACCAUUCCCGUGCAGGCGCCAGACACUAUAGUAUGUGCCUAACUGCAGGUAAACCUUGUGAAACAAUGUAAGGGGUGAGAGAGAAGCAUACAAAAAAUCCGGGCUCUUUAGCCCCUACCCAGACUGCCUCCCCUUCCCAGCAUAAGAUCCGAUGCACAUGGAGGAAACAAUGGAGGCUGUGUGGGAUAUAGAUGGACUUUGGUUUGGAAUUGAUGUCCCAUUUUCUUGCCCGGACUUUCAGACCUGCAUGCAAAUCUUGGGCUGGGGAUGCCCAGAGGAAGGGACAAUACUGUAGUACCACGUGAGGAUGGGUUACUUUGACGGAGGAAGGGGAUUUAUAUAUAUAUAUAUAUAUAUCUCCACUCCCACAUGACAACUUCCAUAUAAUUUAGAUCUCCUUCUUGUGCCAAAACAUUGUGAUCCACCCAAGAUCAUCUUAAGUAAAGAUGGACAGCUAUGCAAAUCUUUUAAAUCAACAACUUAAAAAUUCUUGGUGCCACCUGUGAUAUGCCUAUUCAUUAGUAUACAUGUAUUAUCCCAUGCUGUGGAAUAGUUUGUUUCCAUGGGAUGUGUAAUAGACCCUGAAGCUUUGCUUUUGGGAGGUGUUUAGUAUAGAUCCUUAAAGUAAACUCUGUAUAUUUGAAAAAGCAAAUUUUAAUCUGUGAGAGCUUUAUGCCAGAUAAUUGCCUUGACUACAACAGACUAAUUCUGUUGUGCCACUGGAAUUUGCACAGCUUGCAAUCUCUUUAUUUUUUCAUAAAUGCCUACAGCAUUAUUUUUCUCUGGCAGAAAAUUAAAAUUUAGCCAUUUAGAUGUAAUAAAUGAUAGAAAUAGUAUUAGACAUAAGAACAUAUUUUUAGUACAGAGGAUUUAAGGACUGUCCCAGAUCUGGGAUAGCCAUACCUAUGUUAUAUCAUAAUUUAUAAAUAUGUCUGCUGCAAUUACAAUUUGCAUUAAAAUGUAUUUUUGAAAGCAUUUAUUCUAAAAGUAUACAUAUUAUGCUGCUAUAUUCAUGUUUAGGGCUGUCAACUUAUUUUCUAUAGUUUAUAUUCAACCGUAUCAUAUUGCUCCUUUUUUUCUUUUCUAAGAACAGGGUCCAUAGUUCUCAGAGGACAGGAAAAAACCUUCCCCAAAUUACUGUCCCCAAAAUGUAUUCAGAUCACAAUUCCAAUUAAUCCACUGACUAAGAACUUGGGUUUGUAUAUUCCAGUAUAGAUGAAGUUCACCAGAAUCAAGAUGGCUGUUUUAAGCCUAAUAUGAUUGGGAGGAAAUCCUUAUUUGUGCAACAUGUGAAACCAGCAUCAGUAGAGUAUGUAAUAUGUGGGCCUGCAUAUCUGGAGCAUGGGUGUGCAUCUGAUUUCUGUACUCUCUCACACAUGCAUAUAAUUCAUUCUUUCAAUUUAAAAGGGGAAUAGAACUACCUUCUGGGAGAAUAUAAUUUUCAAUUUUAUGCAAAACCCUCAAGCAGUAUUUUCUCUUAGUGUCGUGCUUUUUGCUUUCUAUGCUUCCCAUGUAAGUCUGCCUGCCUGUCUGUGUCUAUCCGUCCAUUCGUCCAUCUUCUGUUUAUAUGCUGCCCAUCUCAUUCUGAAAAGCAAUUCUUGAUGUAGGCUUCUAGAUUGACGUAGUAAUCUAAAAUUACUAUUGUACAUCUGAUUGCCAAGAUCACUGAAGUGACACUCAAAUGAUUUCUGUGACAAACAGAUUCUUCGAUUACUUUUAAUUUGAUUUAAGUGCUCUCUGCAGCCUCUUGUGAGAGACAGAGGGAAAAGUCUUCAAGAACUUUAAAAAGGAAAUUCUUCUGUGGAGCAACAUGCAGGAGAGCUAUGAAACAGUAAUCUCGUUGGCAGAAGAACUUGCCAUAAGCUGGCCCCGGAUAACUGCAUUUACAGAGACUCGAGGACGCCAAGGUUUGGCCCCUGGCUUAGAAAUGGAACCUGAGCAAGGGCAGCUGGCUCCUUUACAGGGUGAGGCAGCAGCAACUACAGAUGGAUCAAACGGGGAAGGGAUCUUUCCAGACUUCCGGAGGCAACUUGGGGUAAUUCUGCAAACUAUAGGGAAGGCUCAAGUGGAGAAGAUGCUCAGGGAGUUGGUGAAGGAGCAGGAGCAGGAGCAGCAGAGAAGAGUCAGGCGGCGGAAAAGAGUGAACAGGAGUCCUCGGCAUGGAGGUGAUGAAACAGUGGAACAAAAUAACUUGGAGACUUCAAGGGAACUUCAGACUGGAACAGUGGAAGAACCAGCUGUUCUAUCCAGAAAACCAUUUGGGAAUGAAGUGCAAGGUUUCCUCAAAUGUCCGGGACUGGCAGAACCAAAGCAACCCAAGAUGAUUCGUGGUGAUAUGAGAGGGUGUAAGAAUACUCUUGCCCAGCAAAAUCCUCUAGGAACAAGAUGGGGAGCAGAACCUAGAGAGAGUGUAAACCGCAGUCCAUUCUCAAACGUGAGCCAUGGCUCCCAGGAAGCUGGGAGAAUCUGCCCAUCAUUCAUUGAAAGACCCCAGUUCUUAGGAUGGCAGAAGCCCCAUUACACACAAAGGUGUCAGCGUUUACCUGCAGGGGAGAAGCCCCAUCACUGUGCAUCAUGCAGGAGAACUGUUGCGAUCCCACCAUUAAGACCUAACUCCCCUCAUAAUUCUGCAUUGAUUCCUUUCUUGAAUUCUGCCUCUGAAUUUUCUUCUACCUUGACUCUGAAUUCUGUAGGGCCGCUGAAUACCCAAGCUCUGCCAGGUAACCCAGCUUCUACCCAGUCUCAAAAACCCCAUGCUUGUGAGGAAUGUGGCAAACGAUUCCGAAUCCUAGCAAACUUGGAACGGCAUCAGCAGCGUCACGCAGCAGAAAAACCACACCAGUGCAGAGACUGUGGGCGCCGGUUCCGCUGGGGUUGCCACUUAGAGCGCCAUAGGCGAUCACGCCGCUGUGUGGAAUGUGGUGGAGGCCUCGCAACGCCUCCUCCACCCCCAACUCCACCUCCAGAACCUGACCGACCCUAUUCCUGUGGGGAGUGUGGGAGGCGGUUUACUCAACGCUCAGCGCUCAGCAAACAUAGGCGUCUGCACUCAGGGGAGCGUCCCUAUGGGUGUGGAGAGUGUGGGAAACGCUUCCUGCAACGCUCUGACCUCACUAUUCACAUCCGCUCACAUUCUGGUGAGCAACCCUAUGCCUGCACAGAGUGUGGACGCCGCUUCAGUGUCAGUUCAAACCUCAGCAAGCACAGACGCAUGCAUCGGGGGGAGCGUCCUCAUGCAUGUUCUGUCUGCUCUAAACGCUUCCUCCAGCGCUCAGAACUUCUUAUCCACCAGCGUGCUCAUACUGGGGAACGCCCUUAUCCAUGCACAGCUUGUGGAAAGCGCUUUGCUCGCCGGGCUCAUCUCAAACGCCACCAGCGAACCCAUGGGGGAAUGCCUGCCACAACUACUGCAUCUCGGCACCAGAAUGCUCAUCUUUUCACUGCUCCCUCCCCAGAUGCUAUGUCCUUCGUGAAUAUCAACAGCAUGAAUCUUGGGUGACUGAUGUCCUUGAAUCACAUGCUUAAGCCAAUGCAGUUGCCACAGGAUUGUGCCCACUUGUAGUUGGGCCUCCUUUCUCAAAAGCUCGGGAUUCUGUGAAUGCUCCUUCACUGGGUCUACUCUGGGCUGUGCCCUUUUUAGGAUGUCUUCCCUUCUGCUCAUAGCAUUUUUGCCAGGGACAAUCCGAGUUCUGAUUAGCCCAUGGAAAUGGCAUCGUAUUAGCCCCUUAUCCUUGUUUGUUUGGAGGCUUGGCAGGUUUUUUUGCUUGGGCAUCCAAGCUUGCCCUUAUAUUAUAGGGUACGGAGCCACUGAAAUUAUUCAUGAUCAUCUGCUACAUUCCCUGACUUGUUGAUUUAUCUUGCUACUACCACUAGUGUGUCAAGUUUGACAAGUCUGGAGAGGAAAGACACAAUAACUUUACUAUCCAAAGUUAACUGCAAUUCAUUGAGGCAAGUAAUUAUGUCUUGCAAACCACAGUCAUAACAGGCAUUUAUUACAAAUUCACAGAUGUAGAUCUUUUUUCUCUUGAAAUGGUCCAUUACAUGAUUCUCCUUGUCUUCCCUAUUUUUGUAAAUUUAACCAGUCCCCAACAUUACCCUGGCCAAAAAUCUCAUUUUGAGCAGAUUUGCCCUUGUUUCUUUUGAUGGGAAAGAAAUCCAAAGAAGCUUGUCUGAAGGGCUUUGAACUCAUUACCUGUAGACAAAAAUGACAUACUUGUUGUUGAGUCUACAGUAUAUAUUAGAAUACACAUAUUGUAGCAGUCAGUGUAUAACUGAUUGAGUUGGAUGCAUUUUAUGUCUGUGGUCUAUGCUUCUACAGCUCCAAAGGACAAUCAUGCCCAAGCAUUGGAUGGUCCAGAACUGUCCAGAAACAAUGUGGUGUUGUGAUUUGCGCCUCACAGCUGUUUGUGGAAUUUGGGAAAAGAUGAGCCAUGCCUUCAAAAGUGUUUUUAGUACUCUUUCACCAUCAGCUCCUGAGAGAGCGAAGUAGGGACUGCCUCUUGUUGAGAAUUCUGGACUGGAGCAUUUUAGAAUGGAAAGAGUCUGCUUGCUACAUCUGGUGAUUCAGCCAGCUUUGAAGAGAAUGGUAAAGCUGAUGCUGUGUAAGGACAACAAUCUUUUGGUACACACUACUGUGACAGGCAAUUCCCAGGAUACUUAACGCAAAUAACUACAGAAAUUUUGUUUAAUUAAUGUUGGCUGACGAUUCUGAAAGAAAAAACAAUCUUCCAGAGAAAAAUUCACUCCCAGAAAUCACAUUCCUGAGGAUACUCUGCAGCAAUGGUAAGUUUACUCAUUAAUUCACCUAAAGUUGGUUAUACAACAAGUGGGUACUUUGAGAUAAAGUAGAUACCAUAGCAAUAUUUUCCAGCUGAUGAAAAAUGAUGAUAGAAGAAGGAUCCAAUUUGGGAGAAAAAAAAAUUACUGUAUCACAAACAGUGGCUGAAAUUGAUUUCUCAGUAACUAAGCUGUAGGGAGGCAAGAUACAGAAGGAAGAAAAAGUUGUUGCCCUUUAAUUUGGAUACAGAUAUUCCUUGUUCAGACAAAAACUAUCAGUGUACAGUUUGUCUUACUUGAUUCUCUUUAAGCCAACUGUUCUCAAACCCAUGUUUCGUACAUAUUUUAGGAAUAUAGGUAAUCCUUGUCUUAACUUUCAUAAACUUUGUAUCUGUUCAAAAUUAACACUGAAAAAUGUGAUUUAUGACUAUUUUUCACACAAUUAUUGCAGCAUCUCCAUGGUCACUAAUCAGACUGUUCUGAAAUCAUGUGAUCACCUUUUGACAAGCAGUCAGUGGAGAAGCUAUUAACAUUUAACAAUUGUUUUACUAAUUUAACAACUGCAGUAAUUCACUUAACAAUUGUGGCAAGAGGGGACGUUAAAUGGGGCACUUAAACUCAACUAUUUCAUUUAGCAACAGAAAUUUAAGAUCCAAUUGUGGUCAUAAGUCAAGGACUACCUGUAGAAAGGCUAGCAUUCUGAUUUUGCAUGCCAAUUUACCAUUUUGAUUGAGAAUUCCUACAUAAGAUUGAGAAGGACUGCUCUAGACAUUACAUCAAUUCUCCUUAACAGCUGGAAAAAAAUAUUUGGAGAGGACCUAAGGAACUCUUCUCAUCUUAAAAUUGUUCUCAAUUUUUUUAAAAGGUUUUCAUUUGUAACUUCCCCUUGCAAUUGUCUGAAACUGUUUAAAAGUAUUAAAAAUAUACCUUAA
Molecule: RNA transcript, 5951 nt
Organism: Pantherophis guttatus
Lineage: Eukaryota; Metazoa; Chordata; Lepidosauria; Squamata; Colubridae
Source: RefSeq, a predicted model, not a curated record